CGCGCGAGCAUGCCCCUGGCAUACGCCUGUAUGACACAAGCAGCCUUCUUCUGCUCUGCUACCUUCUGGCGCGUUAGGUAGCCGCGGCACACGGCCUGCAGCCUGAUGACACCAGCCCGGGUCCCUUCGUACUGCCUGGCGAGGUGCCGGCUGCGGUACAGAGCCUGCAGGCGCCCGAAGCCCAGCAUUGCCUGUGGGGAGGUGAGGGGAAAAGCAUGAGUCCAAACCUUAAGACUGAGGCUCAGCUGAGUCUAGUCUAGGUGAUUUUCUUAAGUGUGGGGGUAACAUUCGAACCAUCCAGGAGGCGAUGACGACAGCUCAAGAUUAUGGCAAGGGAAGGAAGAGAGUGGCAAUGAAGCCAAGUGAACAGAGAGGUCAGUGCUGCCCUCCAGUGCUCAAACAGUUAUGCUUUUGACAAACAGUUCCUGGGAGUAUCUUACAGCAUCUCUGAUCCGACCUAGGGCUAGCAAGCAUCUCUUUGAAGUAGCUGUGGAUGUUUACCUGUCCAUGGCUAGAUGUUCUGGACAGCAGAAAGCCACAAUGGGAUAUAGGCUGAAGAAGAAAAGACAGGAUCAGAAAACAAUGCCAGGAGAGU
Pogoniulus pusillus (Red-fronted tinkerbird) is the source of this 595-nucleotide long non-coding RNA. RefSeq lists it as uncharacterized. The transcript is spliced from 4 exons. Lineage: Eukaryota; Metazoa; Chordata; Aves; Piciformes; Lybiidae. The record is from RefSeq and is a predicted model, not a curated record.